RNAcentral lists this long non-coding RNA (1177 nucleotides) under Salmo trutta (river trout). RNAcentral describes it as "lncRNA (ENSSTUG00000036707.1)". Lineage: Eukaryota; Metazoa; Chordata; Actinopteri; Salmoniformes; Salmonidae. The record is from RNAcentral.
GCAAAUCAUUGGAGCUGAAGACACAAGACGAGAAGCCGUCCAAAUUAAAUGUUGCAUGGCUAGCCAGUGUUAGCUACAUACUAUCAUAUCACACAUUCUCUGAUAAAUUCGGAUGUGAUUUUGCUCGAUUACAAAUGUUUAGUACACCCUUUGGUAUUGCUAAAUAUACCCCUGGAUUUUUUUUCUGUCUUUAAACACGUUUAACUCACAUUUUAGAGCUGCGAAACAGCAACAGUACGCUACUGUAUUUGAUUGUUCUGUGGUCGAAAAUCUGAUAGCUGUUAGUUUUAGGUAUAUUGAAAAAUACCUGAUUACAAUAUAAUAUAUUACGUUGAUUAAAUCCGAUUACUCAGAAAUUAUUGUACCUAUACACGGUGAAAUGUGUAUUAUGAUAGUAUAUUAAUUAUUCUAUUCGUUGUAUAUGGUGAAAUGUGUAUUUUCCUGGAGGUUAUUUGAUGAGAAACAAAGGCUUCUGUUGGCCAGCCAAACCAUUUCCAUGACAACAAAGACCCGCUACGGGGUCCUAAAAGUCACGUGAUACAUUUUCAAAAACAUUCGGCGGAAAAUGGUCGUUAUUAGUUACCACAGCCACAAAGUCAUAAAUUAGGUCUAAAACCAGCCUAUUUCUAGAAUUCAUAUUUUUUAAAUCUGAUUUUAAAACUAACCCUAACCUGAAACGUAUCUACAAUGUUAACCAUAACCUUUGUUUUAAUGUGUUUUUAACGAUAAAGCCCCAUUUUAACUUUGUGGCUGUGGUAACUAGUGGAAAAUAAGUUGGUAUGCAGCUAUUAAUUAAACGUAGUUAGCUAACGUUACAGUUCGUCCUGAAGUCAGAUGAUUGCAUAACAGUCGGUUUCUUGCUUGCUUAGCUACGUUACUACUAGUAGACUCAACAAGAAUGGCUCCUCACAAGGUUGUUGUCAAGUGUGGGAGCUAUGCGGUGCUGUUGGAUCUCCAGAUCAUUGGGCCUCUGGGCCGCGGAUCACCACAGGAAACCAGCUGGUUCACUAUGGAGCACACUGAGGAGGUCACUAAUCUGGUGAGAGAUGCUGUGGACCGGAGGGUGAGGCUCUACAUAGACUGCCUUCACAAGAGAGGACAGCCCAAACACAAGAGAGAGCUGCCACAUGCCAACCCCCUCUGUGUGAAAGGUAGGAUUCUCAUCUGUAACCUCUGA